This is an RNA transcript of Salvia miltiorrhiza (redroot sage), 1607 nucleotides long. RefSeq lists it as uncharacterized. The transcript is spliced from 4 exons. NCBI's taxonomy places the organism in Eukaryota, Viridiplantae, Streptophyta, Magnoliopsida, Lamiales, Lamiaceae. The record is from RefSeq and is a predicted model, not a curated record.
UGUGAAAAGCCAAACCCCUCGACCGAAUCACAACUGUGACCAGACCGACACGAUUUCGUGAAGUUUAGAUAUAAAAAAGCGGGAUUGGAAACAGUCGAUGGCUAGGGUUAAACUGAUUUUGUAACAAAUCACCUGAUCGAAUUUCCAUUCCACUCCAAUGGCAUUGAGAUCGGUCGCUGGAUUGAGUCGGAUAAUGGAGGGAAACCUGCGAUCGUCUACUUACAGCCUUCGCUACUUCAGCGAUGGCAAAGGUCGUAUCCUCAGUGAAGAAGAGCGUGCUAAAGAAACCGUUUACGUUCAGAAAAUGGAGAGGGAAAGAUUGGAGAAGUUGAAGAAGAAAGCGGAGCUGGAGAAAGCUGAGAAGGACAAAUCCGAUAAGGCUUCCGAAGACGCCAAUAAGAGGUGAAAUGGCUGUCAGUUCUUGAGGACUAGCAUUUCUCCUGGUUUGUUGCCCUAAGACAAUAAUAAACGUGUUAGUUCGCUUGGAUCUUGUCGAGGCUAUCUCCCGUGUACUCAACUUAAGUGACUAGUUGGUACUAGUUCAUGGACAUCUGCUACAUAGUCUUGUUCCAAUGUGGUUGUAUAUUUCGUGACUAAGUUUCUUACGACUUCUUUUCAAAUAUUAUGUCUCACAAUUUGCAAGAAAGUCAUUUUUGUGUUUCCUAUCAUAUUUUCCCAUAAUAUGUUUCAACAACAACAUCUAGUUUCAUGAGUGGUGUUUUAUUGCACUUGAAGAAAUAAAGCAUCAAAUGGGAAACUGCUGCAAAACAAAGGAUCCAGACUACAGGUGUGGGAUCCUCGAAAAAUGAAUGGAUGUUGUGGGAUCCUCCUUGGCGGAGGCCGACCAUAGCCAAACUGGGGCGGCUGUUGCCCGUACCACCCACCAUGCGCUCCUGGGUACCCUCCAUGUGCCCCCGGGUGCUGGUAAGAGCCUCCACCAUAAGGGGGGCCGUGGAACGGCAAAUCGCCCAUGCCAAAGAAUGCGGCGGAACUCUCUGGUGGCACCCGAUCAACAAUCAGGCGGCCUUUUGGGUGGGUUUUGCAAAAGAAAUCUCUGCAUACUUUGGGAUCAAUUGCGGGGGGAACAUAGGCCUCGCAUCUGUGCUCUUCUUUUUCUUCAACCCUUUUCUGGCUGUUGUGGCGUUGGUCUCUGCAGCAGCAAGAAUUCUUGUGUUCUUUUUCUUUUUGGAAUUCGCGGUCUCUGCCUUCAUUUCUGUGGUGGCUGUGUUUCUUCUUAUCAGCAUGGUUCCUGGGUUGCUUGUCAGUUGAUAAAAGUUGAACUGGUUUGCCUAGCUUCGCUACGUUGGUCAACAACGUCGCGUCGUCGAUUUCGCCAGCGACGUAUACAAGGUUGGCUUCUGUAUCUAUUGCAACUGAGUCCACCCCUUGAAUUCGGCGAAAGGAAAAUGAAGAGGGUUAGAUAAGGAAAUUGGAUAUGCUUGUUGCAGGCAUAUUCUCCCUCCCUCUCACUCACUAACUCUCUCUCUCUCAAGAAAUCAGUUAGGUAAUUUGAAUCCACGAUCUAUCUGUUAGAGACGAAGCGUCCCGAUCUAUUUGUUGGAGGAAAAACAUCUCAAAAUAAGCAAAAUCAGAAUGGCAGUUUUCAC